Daphnia pulex (common water flea) is the source of this 2533-nucleotide RNA transcript. RefSeq lists it as uncharacterized. The transcript is spliced from 10 exons. The record is from RefSeq and is a predicted model, not a curated record. NCBI's taxonomy places the organism in Eukaryota, Metazoa, Arthropoda, Branchiopoda, Diplostraca, Daphniidae.
ACACAGUAAUGCCCAGGGUACGCGAUUCAUCAUGCCAGGAAAUAUUUCGUUGCAGCCAAAAGGUGUUAAUCAAACGAUACAGUCGACCAAUUUCGGACAACCUAUUCAGGUUAUUGCUGCUGGCAAACCAUUUCAACCUGGGCAAUGGACACCACAUCUUCAAUUAACCGGCAACAAUAUGCUAAAGGGUCAUCAAAAUGAUAACAAUGCCAUACUUCAAUUUUUCAACAAUGCAAGGAAUAAUGGAUGUAUUCCAACAUCAAAUAAUCAGACGUUGGUCAUUACUGGACCGCUGAUCACAAAUCAAGCUGGAAAUUACAAUCAGCAAGGUCAACAAGGAAAGCCCAUUGAAAUGAAUAAGGCACAGCAGCAGCAACAACAACAGCAACAACAACAGCAACAACAACAGCAGCAGCAGCAGCAACAACAGCAACCAUAUUACCAAGUUGUGAUUGCUGGGAUGCCUCCAAAGUCCCCAGUCAUGACAUCUGCUGUUGGAAAUAAGGGCAACAUGGCCAGUACAGGUGUUAACGUCAGUCAGGCAACCAAUAUGUUGGCACAACCUCAGAUUGUCACUUCUCAAGCGAAUUCUGCACCCAUGCAACUUGGUGGUUCCAUGCAACCAAUGCAGAUCAUAAGUCAAAUGCAGGGUAACCAAAUGGGCCAGUCUUUAGGAUUUCAACUACCUCCAAACUUUUAUCAGUUUGGAGGUCAGCAAGGCCCCAUCAUUAUCAGACAACAUUGGCAACCCGACGGAAUGUUUUUCCAGACGGCACCUCAGCCAACUAUCGCUGCGCAACCGGCACUUCAACCAGUGCCUCCCCUUACUGCUGCCAUUAAACCUAGAGCAGAGACUCCAUCAAAAGCAAGCGGAACCCGCCCAUUAUCAACGAUAUUGCCUUCAUCAUCGGGAGCAUCGACAGCACCAACACUGAUUCGGCCAGCCUCGUCCAUGUCCAAUCAAACAUUUGCAGGCGGAGUGGUCACAAAUGCUCAAACUGGCAACCCUAGACCUGCCGGUAAGACCAAGAAAGUUGGACGGCCUCCACAAAAUCAACAGCGACCAGUGGCACCGUCAGUCGUGCAAGGCCAGCAAGCUCUUUUACAGCCGGUACAGCAGCAACAACAGCAACAACAACAACAACAUCAACAGCCGCAUAUUCAGUUCCAACAGCAACAACAGAAUCAACAACUGCAUGCCGUAUCUCAGCAACUCAUUGCUCAACAUUUAAGAAAUUCUGUUGAUUGUUGCCUAUAUGUUAAACCAUGUUAAAGCAUCGAUCCAAUAGUUUCAGAUGCAGCAGCAUCUGUUCCAAAUUCAGCAGUAUCAACAGUAACAACAGCCGACACUAAUGUCACUUCCGGCUUUCCAGCAAGUGGCUCAGCAAACGCUGGAUACCAAUCAACAAGCCCAACUGCAGCAAGCUAUCGUUUUGGAUACCCAUCGUUGGCCUUCACAUCGGAGGGCGGAAAUAGGCGCGGCGAUCUUGGAUUCAGUGGUUGUGUUUUUUCUUUUUUUCAAAGUGAAUGCUGUGAGUGCGUGAGUGUGUGUGUGAGUGCAAAGUGAAAACACUGUGUGUUUCCGACAACAACAACAAUCUAAAGAAAUGGUGAAGAAGAACUCUGUUUUUUUUUCUGAUAAGGAGCGCAACUGAAUCCCGCACCACCCACUGUUUCUAAUGUGGAAGGUGUUCCUGGAGAAAAAAAAUCUACGGAAUGGGACAAGGACGAAAGUUCGACUACAACAGAGACGGAACCUGUCACAGCUUCUGACCUUUUGGAACCUGAGCCAAUUGCAGUGAGACAUUGCGGAGAGUCAUACGGUGCCUCUCCCACCUGAUACAGAACUGGGGAUGAAAAAGCUCGAACUUCAACCUACUAGCCUACCGUCAGCAAUUAAGAUUUCCAAAAAAGGUGCACACCUGUCUUGGGAGCCACCUCAGAGUACGGCUGGAGAGAUAACAGUCAACCUGGAAUAGCCUACAAGUUCUUAGUAGCUGGUGUCAACUCGUGUGGAAGAGACUUGUGUAGUGAAGUUUUCGCUUUCAAAACAUGUCUCCCUGGAUUCCCUGGUGCAAAAUUUUCUGUUACCGUCAAAUGGUGGAGGUAUUGAGGAAAUGUUAGAUCACGAAACGGUGACUCUCCCACCUGAUACAGAACUGGGGAUGAAAAAGCUCGAACUUCAACCUGGAAUAGCCUACAAGAUCCUAGUAGCUGGUGUCAACUCGUGUGGAAGAGGCUUAUGUAGUGAAGUUUUCGCUUUCAAAACAUGUCUCACUGGAUUCCCUGGUGCUCCGUCAGCAAUUAAGAUUUCCAAAAAAGGUGCACACCUGUCUUGGGAGCCACCUCAGAGUACGGCUGGAGAGAUAACAGAAUAUUCAGUCUAUUUGGGUGAUAAGGAACUUCAGCUUAGAAUCAAGUGCAAGUUUGCAUGACACUGGAGAUCUUGCCCCAACAUCAUGCUGUUGUUAAAGGUGGCAAUUAAAUGAAUUUGCAGCACAUCCGCACAGUCACUGGAACUACUAUUAUGUUU